RNAcentral lists this ribosomal RNA (253 nucleotides) under uncultured bacterium. RNAcentral's name for it is "partial 16S ribosomal RNA". It matches the Rfam family "Bacterial small subunit ribosomal RNA", at positions 524 to 776 of the family's 1533-position model. The record is from RNAcentral.
UACGGAGGGUGCAAGCGUUGUUCGGAAUUACUGGGCGUAAAGGGCGCGUAGGUGGUUGUGUAAGUCAGAUGUGAAAUCCCGAGGCUCAACCUCGGAACUGCAUCUGAUACUGCACGACUCGAGUGCAGCAGAGGGAAACGGAAUUCCUGGUGUAGAGGUGAAAUUCGUAGAUAUCAGGAGGAACACCGGUGGCGAAGGCGGUUUCCUGGGCUGACACUGACACUGAGGCGCGAAAGCGUGGGUAGCAAACAGG